Molecule: long non-coding RNA, 2758 nt
Organism: Oryzias latipes (Japanese medaka)
Lineage: Eukaryota; Metazoa; Chordata; Actinopteri; Beloniformes; Adrianichthyidae
Source: RefSeq, a predicted model, not a curated record
AGUGGUGUCUGAACUUGUUUUGUUUUUAUUUACAGAGGAGCCGUAGUGACUUGGGGCUGGAUAUCCCUCUGCGGUUAGGGUUAUUAAGGUCGCGCUGUGGCCCAAAGGAGAACGCUACGUGGAACCUCUUAAUCAAAAUUCAGAACCUCCUGUCCGUGGAUUUGAUGCAACCCAGGAGAUACCAAGAGGUUUGGUUCCUCAAAGGACCACUAAGCUGGUUCCAGAAGGGAGCAGUUCCACGUCCAAGUUACCCCUUAUAAGAUUUGCUCUGAUAAGAAUUGUGCUUUUGGUGUUUUUAACAUGUUUUAACAUUUUUCUGAUGAAAAUAAAGAUUAAAACUGCAUUUCUUUAUUCAAAUUGUUGUGAAUCAGGAGCAGAUAAAAAAUUGCAGUUGGGAAAAAAAUCUUUUGGCUACUAUGUAAAAUUUACAAUGGAAGGCCACAAGCUCCCUGGUCUGCCCCAUUCUGAUGCAUCCGCCAUUACGACAAUACAAGACAAUGAUCUUUAAUAUCCUAAUGGGUCAUGUGAUUUUAAAAACAUUCGUUUCAAGUAAUAUCUCUAAUUAAACUAGUUUUUGACUCAUAUUUUACACAUUUUGACAACUUUAUUUUAUAAUGUGUAAUUCUAGUCUUAUGUCAGUUGGUUAAAAAAUAAAGUGCAACUGGACUAACUUAGCGUUUAAAUUAGGAUCAUUUUAAGGGGGGAAGUAUAGACGUUUAAUAAACGCUUAUUUUCAGACAUAGUAUUUCCAAUUGCAAGAGUAAUAUACCUAACAUGACAGCUUGUAACUAAUUUUAUGACUUAAUUUGGACUUAACAGGGCAGGACUUCACAUUUUAUUUGAAGAAAUCAAGUCGUCUAUAUUUUUCACUAGUUUUGAGAAAGACAUGUUUCUAUAUGAGGCUUUGAGAGUCAAACUUCAAAAAGACGUCUCCUUUUCCUGAACUCACUCUGCUUCAUCCCUUCAUUCAUGGGGCGGCAGGGUGGUCGGAUGCAGCUUCGAUUCCCGCCUUGCCCGCCCAUAUAUCGAUGUGUCCUUAGGCAAGACCCAAGACCCAACCUUGCCUUGGAUGAUUGACGAAGCCACCAUCAGUGUGUGACUGUAAAUCGCUUUGGGCCUUUGAGUAUACCUACAAGUAUACGCCAUUCACCCCGAUUUACAAACCCAAAACAAAUGCUCCUCCCCUCUGGUACACUUGGGUGAAGUAAGCGGCUACCAUCUGAACAUUGUAAAUGUCGGCAAACUUUCAAAGACACAAAGUGAAAGCAGUUCCAGCAUCCCACCUGAUGCAGCUUAUGUCUCAAACCUGUUAGUUCUUCCAUCAAAAAUGACUCAUUCAAAGAAGAUUUAGGACAGUCGGAUAACCUGUCAGGCUGAAAGACUUCAGUUUCACCCGUUUAGUCCACAAGUCUGAGGAACAAGCAGCUGUGAUUAAACUGGCACAAAAAAAACGAAGCAAAAGAGUUUCAUGAGAAUUAUUGAAGUGCCAAAGCUCACAGGAAAGACAAAUGUAGCUGUCCGUCUACGCUGGGGUCUCUUACAGAGAAACACUCGGGCGUCCAGGAUAAAAACUAGACCUUUCUCAGUGAGGAACACAAAAUGUAAUCCAGACUUUCAUGAGGAAAAACAGAAGGUUUGACCUCUGGAGACCAAACAGAAAACAUCCUAAUUUUCUGGAUGUUUAAAAUUCUAUAUGGCAGAGAAGCAAAGAACAGGGUUUCUGUUUGGAUCCACUGCGCUUGAUUUCAUUUAGCAGGAAAACAAAUGACUGCAAGGUUUUGUGGGAAACAUGCAUGUAUGCUGAAGAGCUGAAAGAAGAAAUGUAAGCAGACAUCUCAACAAGGAUGAAUCCCAUCAUCUGGAAAGACUUAUCCUCAUUACAGUUAAAAGCAAACAUUGAUGUAUACGGGGUUGUUUCCCCUUGUUGUUCCACUAUCUCACAAAGCAUUUUGUAAUUUAGGAGCAUGCGUUAUCUGCUUUCACUCCCUUCCCUUCCUCUGUUUCCUCCGAGGAGUGGACCUGGAUGACAAAUUAACAGCAUUAGUCUCCAUAAUUCAGAGAAAAGCCAUGAUGGUGCAAAACCUGACAGAGGGAAUCAAAUUCAUAUGGAGGAGAGCGGGGAAUUGCGCGCCUGGCUCGGAGCAAACAUCUACUUUUAAUUAGAGGGUGCUCCAAUAUCGCAGUCCGAGGCACGCCAAGAUUACACUGACCACAGAGCGAGGCUGGCCUCCCGGAGGUCAGAUUUGAGUUUUUAAUCGGAGUUUUGUGGCUGGAGCGAACGGAGCCACCCGCCUGAGGCACAACAGGCUUUUACCACUGAUUUGCAAAGGAAAGCAACUGCCAAAAACCUCGCCCAUUACACUGCUGCAGUCAGCCGAGAACAUUUAUCACCAUGGAUGUCAUAUUUAAGGCCGACUACGCCAAAAAUGCUCAACAUUUCUCUUGGGUUUGUCGCGCAAAUCUGCCAAAAAGCCCAGGAUUUGAUUCGACGGCUUUGGUAGCAGGAAUCCUGACAUUUGUAACUCUGAAUGACUUAGGAUGUAAUUUCAAGUAAUCCUGUCAUUACUGAGCAGCAGCGUUUGGACUCCAACCACAUCCAUCCUGCAGAGAACACAGCAGAGGACUUCCACAACAACCAGUUGAUUGUCUUUUCUGGUUUUUAGAAAAACUUUGAGAAGUAGUCAGGACAUUUGGUUUGGGUCAAUCCUUUCUUUGUUGUAACAACACUCUGUGGAAAUAAAAGCUAUUCUUUUGGACA